This is a long non-coding RNA of Archocentrus centrarchus (flier cichlid), 290 nucleotides long. RefSeq lists it as uncharacterized. The record is from RefSeq and is a predicted model, not a curated record. The transcript has 3 exons. Lineage: Eukaryota; Metazoa; Chordata; Actinopteri; Cichliformes; Cichlidae.
AAGCAGCUCACCUGUGUGUCCGUGUUUAGUGUCCAGGUGUGGAGUGGAGCUUCUUCUUCUUCUUCUGUUUGCAGAAACUCUCUCCGCAGCUUCGGCACCGAGGGGGACCCCCUUUAGACCGCAGAGAGCCCACAGCGAGUCUGUGACAGAAAGGUUGCAGCAGGCCGUUAGCUGAGCCUCCACUUUCCUUCAGAGAGCAGGAGGAGGAAAGAGGAGCUGAGGCGGGGUGAAGGUAGAAAGUGUGUGUGAGCUGAUGUGAAUUGAGCAGCAUGGAUCAGUGUGAGGACAGA